This 334-nucleotide unclassified non-coding RNA is filed under the name uncultured Saccharomycetaceae. RNAcentral's name for it is "sequence contains ITS2". The stretch from base 1 to 52 matches the Rfam family "5.8S ribosomal RNA", at positions 103 to 154 of the family's 154-position model. The record is from RNAcentral. Lineage: Eukaryota; Fungi; Ascomycota; Saccharomycetes; Saccharomycetales; Saccharomycetaceae.
AACGCACAUUGCGCCCCUUGGUAUUCCAGGGGGCAUGCCUGUUUGAGCGUCAUUUCCUUCUCAAACACUUGUGUUUGGUUGUGAGUGAUACUCUUCUUUUAGGGUUAACUUGAAAUUGCAAGCCUGUUUAGGCUGUGUGUGCUGGCUCGGAUAGAGUGAUUUGUCCAGUCUGCUAAUACCAAAUUGUCGUAUUAGGUUUUACCAACUUCGACGAGCUGUUGUGUUAGUGGGUGUUAUUACGACAAGUAUACUUGCUUCUUGCUGCUACAUGGUCCGGCGAACAAUACUCUCAAAGUUUGACCUCAAAUCAGGUAGGACUACCCGCUGAACUUAA